This 488-nucleotide ribosomal RNA is filed under the name uncultured bacterium. RNAcentral describes it as "partial 16S ribosomal RNA". It matches the Rfam family "Bacterial small subunit ribosomal RNA", at positions 30 to 507 of the family's 1533-position model. The record is from RNAcentral.
AUUGAACGCUGGCAGCAUGCUUUACACAUGCAAGUCGAACGGCAGCGGAGAGUGCUUGCACUCUGCCGGCGAGUGGCGAACGGGUGAGUAACAUAUUGGAACGUACCGAGUAAAGGGGGAUAACUAUCCGAAAGGAUAGCUAAUACCGCAUACGCUUUGAGAAGGAAAGUGGGGGAUCUUCGGACCUCACGUUAUUCGAGCGGCCAAUAUCUGAUUAGCUAGUUGGUGGGGUAAAGGCCUACCAAGGCGACGAUCAGUAGCGGGUCUGAGAGGACGAUCCGCCACACUGGGACUGAGACACGGCCCAGACUCCUACGGGAGGCAGCAGUGGGGAAUUUUGGACAAUGGGCACAAGCCUGAUCCAGCCAUGCCGCGUGUCUGAAGAAGGCCUUCGGGUUGUAAAGGACUUUUGUUAGGGAAGAAAAGAAAUGGGUUAAUACCCCAUUUUGCUGACGGUACCUAAAGAAUAAGCACCGGCUAACUACGUG